Molecule: long non-coding RNA, 10865 nt
Organism: Oryzias latipes (Japanese medaka)
Lineage: Eukaryota; Metazoa; Chordata; Actinopteri; Beloniformes; Adrianichthyidae
Source: RefSeq, a predicted model, not a curated record
UGUUUUCUUUACAGGUCACAGCAGCCAUGCCUGACUGGUUUUUAGGUCCCACAUUUAGCGAUAAAUUUAACAAAUAGACUGAUCUUCAUGUAAUUUUCUGAACUUUUGAUAAGACUGAAUAAUAUGGAAUAAUUUUUCUGACUUUUCUAAAGAUGCAUCUGCUGGGUUUUAAGAUUUUUAUCAAAUUUGCUUAGAGUCUGCUAAUUAAAAAAGAAAAAAACAUAUGAAAGAAAAUCUACAUUUAACUUAACUGAAAUCUUUUUAUAUAAAAUCUUAAUGCUUUGUUGUCUUUGUGAUGUAGAAGUGAUAGUAGUUGUAUAAAGACAGGUUUUACAAAAAAUGUACUUUACCAAAGGGAGAUUUUUGGGAUGAGACCAAUUUUUACAACACAGGACAACAAUAGGAGGACUCCCGUCAAAAUGAACCUUAUAUUAGCUAAAUGCAAUGACUUUACUAUAAAUAAUCAAAACAAAAAAAAAUCAGAUUGAAGUAUUUCUUUUUAAUGUGUGAAGGAAUCAUAAGAAUGAAUAGUGGGAAGUUAAAUUAAUGGCAGUAGAGUUUCAACGGGUCAAUUCUCUUCUGGACAUUAUUUACCAUCAUGCACUUUUUGAUAUUCUUAAUCAAACUGACACCUUAUCGCACGCCCCACAACACUGCAGAGUUGCAUUAGGAGAUAAUAUCUCCAUCUAUCUUUCUCCCAUCUUUUACAAGCAUUGUUGUUGAGGCUGGCACAGCGGGUGGUUGACAGUGAUGAGAGGUGUUUGGAAAUGCUGUGUUCCUGUGUGUGUCAGCAGCAGUGAUACACUUAUCUCAGAAACAAAGCUUCAUAUCUUUGGUUUUAGAUUUCAAAUUCAAUUCUAGAGUAUUUGGAGAAAAUAGCAUGUGGUAAUCUUUGAAGUAAAGCUGGAAAACAGUUUCAUAUUGAGACAAAUGCACCCGGGCUGCUUUUUGAAGGUUGGAUUACAGGUGUGUAAAAUUAACCUUAAUUUUGAAUUUUAAAAGGCAUUAAACCAUAAAAAAUAUUAAUAAUUUCAAACUCAUCCGUUCAUAUUUGUUUUGCUAAAAUCAAUGACAGGUCUUCAUUUAUUCCAGCCAGAUUUGCAGUUGGUCUUUUAUCAGAAACAGAUUUUAGAUUAAAUGCACCUCUUCCAAAUAAACCACUCACUAAUUCAGCCAUUUUUUAUAACAUAUGACAACAUAACUUGCAGAGAAAAAAUGUAGGCUUCAGAUGAAUGUGUGUGUUUUUUUUACAGAUUUGGAAUCUUAUCACCACCCAUGGAUGGAUGGACAGGAAAUAAAUAUUUUUCUUCUUGAUAUCAAAGACUAUUAAAGCAUUUUGGAGAAAACCAAGUGGAAAGACUCCUUUCUGCAACCAAACGCCCACAAUUUAAUAAGCAGGAGAAAAAAAGGACUGAGACACAAACACAGCAAAAAAGAAGAAACCAGGCAACUACAGACACCAGGAGGCAAAGGGUUAAACAAGACCCCCUCGUAUUUUCAUGCAUCUUCUGCUUUUGACAGAUGAAAAAUGUCAACUGUCCUGUUUGUAUUUGGGAGUUUUUGCACUAUUCAUCUGCUUCAUUAGUGCCUGCUGCUCCUAGCCCCUGACAGCUGCCGGCCCCCUGCUCACAGUGUAUACACACACACACACAAACACACACGAACAAAAGCAUAAAGAUGCAUCCACACACACACACAGAAGAUAUCCACACUUGCACUAUUUUUUUAGAUUGUGUUGUCGCAGCUGUUUAGAUGAUUGACUCCUUCCCUGACCUCAGAGGCCCUAGUGUGUUACAGUGUGUGUGUGUCACUGUGUGUGUGUGUGUGUGUGUCACUGUGUGUGCAAGUAUAUGGUUCAUUGAUAUUCGAGAGACAUAUAAUGCACACGCAUGCCUGCUGUCUGUCUGUGUGAGCUGCUGGUGGCAAGAGAUGUGCACAUUCUUAAAACUACGUGCUCACAGGUUUUCAGCCCUGUUUUUGUGAGGACCCUCACCCACAUGAUUUCUACCAUGUUCCCAGCUUCGUCCCAACAGUCACAACUAAAAACAUCAACUCCAUUACUUGAUCCUGAAACACUGAGUUUUUUUAACCUUGAAUAUCCAAUUGAAACGGCUGAAACUGAUAAAUACCACAAUGUAUUGUGUGUGUUCAAAAGCUCACAAUUGGGCUUUUCCUUUCCUAGUUUACACCUGAUCCUGUUUUUUUUGCAUUACUGCUAUGAGCUGAACAGUUAGAACAAAAAGGCUUAAAAAACAUCAGACAUUCUGUCAUAGUAAUAAAAAAGACAGUCUUUCAUCAAAUUUAAGAAAAAGGUUCUAUCGUACACCACUAGAAAGAGUCAGACUUAAGUGAAGGUUCAGAUUUCAGCUCCAGGUUCAUAACUCUUAAGCCAGUUUUCUGUAUAGUUUAACAGGAACGUGAUGGACUGGUGACCUGUCCACAGUGUACUCCAACUUCCCCAACCAUAGCUGGUAUAGGCUCCAGCAACCUAGUGAUCCCAAAAGGGAUUAAGUGGGCUUGGACUACAGAUGGAUGGCUUAAUAUGAUUUUUGGUCAAAACAGAACCCAAAUUCACUACCCCGUCGUGAAUAGAUCAAGCUGGCAGCGCAAAAAGUCCAACAACAAACCUUUGCGAGAAUGAGGGAAUCGAAGCAAAAAAAAGUUUCAUAUUAUGAAAGUCAAGGUUUAAUUAAAAGAUUAUUUUAAACAUGUUAUGCAGUGCGAUAAUUUCUUGUCCAGCUGUUAGCACACUGUACUGUGUAGCCCAGUCGAAAAUUUGAAAGAAAGAAAAAAGAAAUAAAUUUUAGACUAGGCCACUGAAAGAUUAAAAUUUAUUUUUUGAAAAAAAAAAAAAAGUUCAAUGGCCACUUGUUUGGGUUUGUUUAACAAGUUUUCUUAUUCCAUUGGGAAUGAAGUUAUUUUGGUUUUGUAUGUUGUAAAAAUUGAUUUUGCCCCACAGCCUAACCUGUAUGUAUUUUUUGUUAAGUCUGAAAUUUGAUUUGUUAUGUUACCUGUCCGUAUAAUGAGCCAUCCAUUCAGAGAUAAGUGGGUGUGUCUAAGAGGUGCAAUCGAAAACAAACGUUUCACUAACGGGCAGAGACAGUCAGACCUUGGUGAGGAGCGGAGCUGACGCUGAAGGCUACGAUUUUUUCAAGUUCGACGCAGAGUCAACUUUCUGUUAAAAUUGUGGACACUGUUUGUCAUGUAAGUAAUGAGUUUUUUGAUGUGUUUAAACUGCUCGUUUGGCACCAUGGCUACAUAUUACAAAAUGCAGCCGAAUGCUAAUUGCGACUAGCUUUAGCAUAUUAAGUGUAACGUGGUGGGAUAGUUUCUCACUGUGCUAGGUAAAAGUAACCCAAAAUGAAUUCUCAAAGUUCUAAAUGGGACUUUUAUGCAAUUGACCAUAGACGAGUCUUUUUUGGACCCUGUGGAAGACUGAGCACCUGUGGAGGACCGAGCACCCGUGGAAGAUCGAGCACACCCUGCCGGUCGUCUGAGCGAUUCCAACCCCCAGGCCUCAGAGAUUCCCGCCUCCGCUGUCCUGCUGUGCAGCUGGAUGACGCUGAGUUUGCCUGCAGAGCAUUUUCGCCCGCCAACAGUUGCCCUAACCAUCCGAUAAGUGAGUACGUGCACGUUUUUUUUUUCUGCUUGCUUAGCAAGUGAAAGGGCCCUCUUCAGUUUUUGGCCACAACGCACCCGAGCAUCGAUCAGGCCUGCAACAAAAAAAAAAAAAAAGUAAAAAGGGGACUAUACCAAUAUUUUGUUGCUGUGUUUUCAGUGUAAGGAACUGAUUUUUUUCUUUUUUUUUUCCCACCUCUUCUUAAUUAACGUAAACUGUAUUUUUUAUUUAUUUUAACUGUGUGUGGGGGUUAAUUUAAAAUAAAGGAAAAAAAUAAUAAAAUAAGGUUGUAAUGUUUAAAUUCAAAUUAUUCUUAGUAGGAAAAUUCUAAUGUUAAAUUCCUGUUAAGUGGAGGCACCGCCGAUUUCCAGUAUUGUUUUUUGUAUUAAAUUAAGUGUUUUUUGUAUUUCCUGUUACCCCUAACUAAAUCAAAUUAGACGAAUCCAGGACACCGCCCUUAGUAAUACGACUUAAUAACAGAGGGUUAUUCGUCUAGUUACAUGGGAUAGGUGUUACACAAUUGGAGGCACCGCUGGGAUUCAAAUAAUAAAAUUUAUAUGUCAUUGGCUCUUUUGAAAACAAAACAAUGGCCUUUAAACAAAAUCACAGUGUUCCAAAUGUAAGCAACUGGUGUAGAGGUGAAGGUGUGGAUACGUCACAUGCUCUAAUGGCAAUGGGUAUUUCUGAAGAAACUCCGGUUGACACUGUUGAACUUGCACUCGAAACCAUAAAAGCUAUUGGCAAAGUGAGAGUACGAGGCAAAAUGUUUGAUCCAGAUAGCAACACAGUAACUGUGCUUUGCGAAUGCCGAGAAGAAAUAGAUUCAACUAAGGUUCCUACCGAACUGGUUGUCGAUGAAGGUGUUAAGUGGACUUUAGUUACUGUUGAACGAGAACAGAGUUCUGGUUUAUUCUCAGAAAAACUGGUCAAGUUUCUCCAAGAUGAAGGAAAAUCUCUUGAUGAUGUAACUCAGCUAUGUAGUCCCGUUCUUUCUGCGAACCAAAAUGCUGAAUCUGUCAUUCGUGCAUUGAAUGAUUUAGCACAGUCACCCAAAAACAAUGAACAUAGUUCCUACAGGCGUCUAAGAACAUUUUCUGGAGUCCAUCCUACUCCACCUGGAGAAGAUAACUUGGAUAACUGGAUGGAACAAGCUAAGUUCAUGGUGGAUGAAUAUGAGUACACAGACAGGGAGAAAAAACGAAGAAUCGUUGAAAGUCUCAAAGGACCAGCUUUGGAGAUCAUCCAAGCUGUGCGCAUGUCAAAUCCUGACGCAACUCAUAUGGAUUACAUUGAAGUCCUCGAGAGUACUUUUGGAACUGUAGAGUCAGGUGAAGAACUGUAUUUUACAUUCAAAGCUCUUCACCAAAAGCCGAAUGAGUGCCUGUCAGAUUUCUUGCUCAGAUUAGAACGAACAUUGAAUAAGGUUGUGAAAAGGGGAGGCCUAAACGUCCAUGAAGUCAAUAAAGCUAGACUAGAGCAACUCAUUAAGGGUGCCACUGAGUCUGAUAUAAUGCUACUUAAUCUAAAUCUUAGAGAGAGGCGAAGUGCCCCCCCAUCAUUUCUCAGUUUACUCAAAGAGAUUCGUGAAGAAGAGGAGCAUGAAUUAGCCAGACAAAAGCUCAAAAAGCCAUCAAAACAGUAUGUUCGCAGUGUACAAACCACUGAGUCGGAGCAUAAAAAAAAUGAGUCAGCUGAUCUUCAAACAGAAGUUCAAGAACUUAAGGAAAAAUUAAAAGCACUAAAUAAACAGUCAACAGCAAGCAAACAAGGGUCCAAAAAAGAAAAAAAAUGCAAAGCAGAAUCCGAUGAAGUGCAAAAACUGAAAAGGGAAGUUAAAGCUCUCCAAAAUCAGAUAAAUGUAAUGUCAGUAAAGCCAAAAACAUAUACAACAGACACGGGUUACUACCCCAGAUACAAGACUGAGUGCAGUGCUAAACCUGCUCAGUCAAAACCAAAUAAUACAAAAGAGUCUGAUUAUUUUUGUUAUCAUUGCGGAGAAAACGGACACAUUGCUCCAAAAUGUACGGCUCCGGAAAACUCGCAAAAAGUGAUACAAAAACUCAUAAGACAAGCCCGACGUGGUACUGAUGCCCCUAGAGAAAGAAAGAAGGAUCAAAAAGAGCAUAUUGCUCAUGUCAAUAAAACCAGCGUACCCAUUCAUAACUCAGACAUCCCUCCGGGUCUGAUUGGUCCAUCUUCUAUUGCCGAAAUCAAAGUCAACAACAUUUCCUGCAAAGGUCUUAUGGAUUCCGGGUCCACAGUGACCAUUAUCUUUGAGGAUUGGUAUAAGAGAAAUAUCUCACACAUACCUCUCCAACCAAUUUCCAGUCUCGCGAUCUGGGGUUUAUCUGCAGAGUCAUAUCCCUACUGUGGCUGCGUAGUCGUGGAAAUGGAAUUUCCUGAAGAUGUGACUGGUGUUAAAGGGCCAGUUACUGUUUUAGCCCUCAUCUGUCCUGAACCUCGUCAAGGUCAUGAAACUCCAGUUGUUGUGGGUACAAAUGCUUUUCUUUUCCGCAGGCUCUUUCAGAUUUGCAAGGAAAAUAACAGUGAAUGUAAAAUCAGCUCUAUGAGAGUUAAAGCUGUUUACGAUCAAAUAAAAGUUCAGCCACCGCAGUCAAAUACAGAAGAAAAACCAAUCGGACAAGUUAAAUGGCCGGGACCAGGUCCACUUACUCUAGCUCCCGGUGAAAAGUUUAAGGCUACGUGCACCAUCGAGCAUAGAGCUACAAACUCGCAAGAUGUAGUACUGGUUGAAGCUCCCGUUGUUUCUCAACUUCCCUCUGGUGUGUUAGUACAACCAGGUGUUCUUCUGGAGAGUGAUAUUGAUGAGAACAGUUUCACUGUGCUUUUGCAAAAUGAGUCAGAGAAGCCCACCUGCAUUCAGGUUGGGACUGUUGUUGCAGAAAUGCACACUGUUGACAUUGUCACAAAUCCACAAGCCCUGGAGUCAAAGCAUACUGCUUUAGACGCCAACCUUUUUGAUUUUGGUGAUUCUCCUGUCUCGGAAGAAUGGAAAAACAGACUAAGACAAAAGUUAAUGGCACGACGCAAUGUUUUUUCCCUUGAUGAAUGGGAUGUGGGACUAGCAAAAGAUGUUGAACACAAAAUCCGAUUAAGUGACUCAACCCCUUUCCGAGAAAGGUCGCGACGUUUAGCUCCAGCUGACAUUGACGAUGUGAGAAAACACUUGCAGCAGUUGAUAAAGGCAGGUGUUAUCAAAGAGUCUCGCAGCCAAUACGCAUCACCAAUAGUAGUUGUGCGUAAAAAGAACGGUUCGAUCAGAAUUUGCAUUGACUACAGAACCCUAAACAGUCGGACUAUACCUGAUCAAUACACCAUUCCGCGUGUAGAUGACGCCUUGGAUUGCCUUACUGGUAGUAAAUGGUUCUCCGUUUUGGAUCUCCGAAGUGGUUAUUAUCAAAUAGCCAUGUCGGAAGAAGACAAGGAAAAAACUGCAUUUAUCUGCCCCCUCGGAUUUUACCAGUUUGAGCGCAUGCCUCAAGGAAUUACCGGAGCUCCAGCUACUUUUCAGCGGCUGAUGGAGAAAGCUGUUGGUGAUAUGCACCUGCUCCAAGUCAUCGUGUAUCUGGAUGACAUCAUCGUGUUUGGCAAAACGCUCGAAGAACACGAGCAACGUCUCCUAAAAGUAUUAGAUCGACUCGAAGAGUAUGGUCUCAAAGUGUCCAUUGACAAAUGUCAGUUUUGUCAGUCUCAAGUAAAAUAUGUCGGACACAUAGUGUCAGAAAAAGGCAUUGCGACUGAUCCCGAAAAAGUUGCGGUAGUUACAAACUGGCCUGAACCAACAGAUCUCAAGACCCUAAGAUCUUUUCUUGGUUUCUGCGGGUACUACCGCAGAUUUAUAGCCAACUACUCAAGCAUAGUCCGUCCCCUAACUGAACUCACCAAAGGCUAUCCACCUACGCAAAAAAAUAAGAAAAACAAACCAAAAGAUUCCUCCAAGAGUUAUUUCAAACCAUCUGAGCCAUUCAAAGAACGCUGGGAUGAGGCUUGUCACAAAGCGUUCGAAACAAUAAUCCACCAUUUGACAAAUGCCCCGGUGUUGGCCUUCACGGAUCCCACCAAACCUUAUAUUUUGCACGUAGACGCGAGCAUGAAUGGUUUAGGUGCUGUCCUUAACCAAGAGCACCCUGAAGGUCUUAAACCAGUCGCAUUUGCUAGCAGAAAACUAAGCGACUCUGAGCGAAACUACCCGGUACAUCAACUUGAAUUUUUGGCUUUGAAAUGGUCCGUUGUCGAUAAAUUUCAUGAUUACCUCUAUGGUGCAAAAUUCACCGUCAGAACAGACAACAAUCCGCUGACUUACGUACUGACAACGGCCAAACUAAAUGCAGUUGGACAUCGCUGGCUUGCAGCAUUAGCCACGUAUGAUUUUAACAUCCAAUAUCGGCCCGGUCGUCACAACAUCGACGCCGACCUCUUAUCACGUCAGUAUAGUGAUACAAACCAAUGGACAGAUGUGCCUAAAUCAGCAAUAAAAGCUAUUUGUAAAAAAGAAACCUCAGCCAACUCAUCCAGAUUUGCUGAUCAAUUGGGUGUCCCCCCAGCAGCGAUCCCAGAAGCUUAUGCUUUUCCAGUUAGUUUGAGCGCACAGUUUAUUGAUCAACUGUCACCCAAAGAGCUCCAAGUUGCUCAAGAUCUUGACUUAGUCAUUGGUCCUGUCAAACAAGCCAUUCAUUCAGGCAAACAGGCUGUCGUAACCAAGACGGAUUCCCCUGACAUAACAUUAUUAUCGCGUGAAAGACCCCGCCUCAAGUUAAACGAAGGACUGCUGUACCGAUUGAGAAAAAUACCAAACGGUACAGAAAACAAACAGUUGCUUUUGCCAGAACGAUAUCGAACUAGUGUUAUGAAAUCACUACAUGAUGAUUGUGGACAUCUUGGAGUAGAAAAAACCUCAGAACUGCUCAAAGAUCGAUUUUAUUGGCCACGCAUGAAUGCCGAUGUGGAUCAAUACAUUAAGACAUGUGGACGCUGUAUUUCACGAAAAACUCUUCCACAACGUUCCUCACCUCUUAAUCAAAUCACGAGCAAUGGUCCAUUAGAUCUUGUUUGUAUUGAUUUUCUCCAAAUUGAGCCAGACAACAAAGGUAUUCAAAAUGUGCUUGUAGUAACUGAUCAUUUCACUCGUUACGCACAGGCAUUUCCAACUAAAGACCAGAAGUCAGUUACUGUCGCAAAAGUACUGUGGGAAAAGUAUUUUGUCCACUAUGGAUUGCCCGCCAGAAUACAUUCAGAUCAAGGUAGAGAUUUUGAGAGCCGACUCAAUAAAGAGCUACUCUCUAUGCUCGGCAUUCGAAAAUCCCGCACAUCUCCUUAUCAUCCCCAAGGCGAUGCGCAACCUGAACGGUUCAACAGAACACUUCUUUCAAUGCUGGGAACACUGGAAAACAUAAAGAAACAUAACUGGAGUCAACAUAUUGGUCAGUUAGUACAUGCGUACAACUGUUCAAAAAAUGAAUCAACCGGAUAUUCGCCAUACUUUUUAAUGUUCGGUCGAAACGCCAGAUUGCCCAUCGACAUCUGUUUUGAUGCAGCGUUUGAGAAAAACACAGAAAACUCCCAUUUACAAUACGUUGAAAAAAUGAAAAAAGAACUGAAACAUGCCUAUCAUCUAGCAACAGAGAGUGCAACUAAAAACCAUCUUAGAAACAAAUCUAGAUAUGAUCAACGUGUGAUAGACCAACCACUACAAGAAGGUGACAGAGUUCUUAUUAGAAAUGUUGGCCUUACUGGAAAACACAAGCUGCAAGACAGAUGGAAGCCAAUCCCGUACGUUGUAGUAAGAAAACUACCAAAUCUACCCGUCUAUAAAGUCGAACCUGAACAAGGACCAGGAAGUGUCAAAACUUUGCAUAGAGAUCAUCUACUUCCUAUUGGUUACCUUGUCAGGAUUCCAGAAAUUUCAAAAGCAACCAAAAGUGUCAACCCUCCGAUCACAAGACAGAGACAAAAAUAUCGUCAAAGUGAAAGUUACUCCCACUCUGGGAUGAGCAACUCUUCUUCAGACUCAGAGUAUGCGUGCGAGUACCCCAAAAAGGACCAAGUUCAAAGAUUAGUCCAAAGAUCUCUAGGAUCAGUGUCCGACAAAUCAAACUGUGACAAGUCCUCCUCUGGGGGUGAACCAGAACAUGAAACAAAUGAAAAUAAUCAUAAUGAAAGUGAACAUUCAGACUUUGAACCUGAAACGAAUGAAGAAGAAACAGACACAGACACAAAUGUUGAGAGUUCAAAACACAGGAAAUCAACUCGAGAAGUGAAGCCAGUCAUUCGAUUGAGUUAUGACAAACCUGGAAAACAAACUGAGGAACCUGUAACCAUAGUUCAUCAUGGUAUGGUUAUUCAGUUGAACCUUAGUUCGCAUGACAAUCUUCCCAAACCUAAGAAACACCUUAAAUCUUUGUAUAGAUAUUGACAUUAGAUGAGGACAUCUAAACCUUUUAGAACGGGGAGAGUGUAGCCCAGUCGAAAAUUUGAAAGAAAGAAAAAAGAAAUAAAUUUUAGACUAGGCCACUGAAAGAUUAAAAUUUAUUUUUUGAAAAAAAAAAAAAGUUCAAUGGCCACUUGUUUGGGUUUGUUUAACAAGUUUUCUUAUUCCAUUGGGAAUGAAGUUAUUUUGGUUUUGUAUGUUGUAAAAAUUGAUUUUGCCCCACAGCCUAACCUGUAUGUAUUUUUUGUUAAGUCUGAAAUUUGAUUUGUUAUGUUACCUGUCCGUAUAAUGAGCCAUCCAUUCAGAGAUAAGUGGGUGUGUCUAAGAGGUGCAAUCGAAAACAAACGUUUCACUAACGGGCAGAGAUAGUCAGACCUUGGUGAGGAGCGGAGCUGACGCUGAAGGCUACGAUUUUUUCAAGUUCGACGCAGAGUCAACUUUCUGUUAAAAUUGUGGACACUGUUUGUCAUACGAGUCUUUUUUGGACCCUGUGGAAGACUGAGCACCUGUGGAGGACCGAGCACCCGUGGAAGAUCGAGCACACCCUGCCGGUCGUCUGAGCGAUUCCAACCCCCAGGCCUCAGAGAUUCCCGCCUCCGCUGUCCUGCUGUGCAGCUGGAUGACGCUGAGUUUGCCUGCAGAGCAUUUUCGCCCGCCAACAGUUGCCCUAACCAUCCGAUAAGUGAGUACGUGCACGUUUUUUUUUUCUGCUUGCUUAGCAAGUGAAAGGGCCCUCUUCAGUUUUUGGCCACAACGCACCCGAGCAUCGAUCAGGCCUGCAACAAAAAAAAAAAAAAA